GUCCACGCCGUAAACGAUGUCUACUAGCUGUUCGUGGUCUUGUACUGUGAGUAGCGCAGCUAACGCACUAAGUAGACCGGCCUGGGGGAGUACGGUCGCAAAGAUUAAAACUCAAAAUGAAUUGACGGGGGCCCGCACAAGCGGUGGAGCAUGUGGUUUAAUUCGACGCAACGCGAAGAACCCUUACCUACUCUUGACAUCUACGGAAGUUUGCAGAGAUGCAGACGUGCCUUCGGGAACCGUAAGACAGGUGCUGCAUGGCUGUCGU
RNAcentral lists this ribosomal RNA (268 nucleotides) under uncultured bacterium. RNAcentral describes it as "partial 16S ribosomal RNA". It matches the Rfam family "Bacterial small subunit ribosomal RNA", at positions 793 to 1055 of the family's 1533-position model. The record is from RNAcentral.